This is a non-coding RNA of Podarcis lilfordi (Lilford's wall lizard), 4145 nucleotides long. NCBI's taxonomy places the organism in Eukaryota, Metazoa, Chordata, Lepidosauria, Squamata, Lacertidae. The record is from the annotation of a GenBank genome assembly.
GCUCUACACCAAGUGGGGAAACUGUUCCAACCCGAGGGCCAUAUACUUUUCUGGGCAACUUUCCAGAGGCUGCUUGCCAGUGCUCAUUGGAGCCUGAGGCCCAAAGUAAGUGGAGUAAUGCAUGCAACUCUUGCCUUUACACAGUAGGCUACUAUUAUGUAUUCAGUGGUCUGAGCUUGAGUCUGGACUAAGGAUUCCGAGCCCUUGUGCUCUGAUUCGAUACAUGAUAUCCAAUCACGUAGCAUUAUAAGUGUUUGGGCAAUUGGCAUUGGCUCUUAAGCUCUGAGUUAUGAUUCGCAGCUUGGGGGUUUAAACAGCCAAUCAUGUUGGGAGCGGUAGUGGCCCAGGCUUUCAGAAAUACAUAUACAGUGGUACCUCAGGUUACAUAUGCUUCAGGUUACAUACACUUCAGCUUACAGACUCCGCUAACCCAGAAAUAGUGCUUCAGGUUAAGAACUUUGCUUCAGGAUAAGAACAGAAAUCGGGCUCUGGUGGUGCAGUGGUAGCAGGAGGCCCCAUUAGCUAAAGUGGUGCUUCAGGUAAAGAUCAGUUUCAGGUUAAGAAUGGACCUCCGGAACGAAUUAAGUACUUAACCUGAUGUACCACUGUAAGCAGUUGGUUUGCUCCUGUUGUUCUGUUCUGUUUGUUCAAUAAAGGAUGGAUCUACACACAGGGAGGAAAAACACUAUAAAUAAGUCAGAAAUUAAAUCGUCAUUACAAAAGAAAAAAAAGCUAUAGAAAAUCGCUUAUAUAUUUUUUGCUCUCUGGCACCAUCUGGUGUUGCAUGUUUAUAACGCAUUCAAAACACUGUUUCUUGACUAAUGUAGCUGAGUCCAAAGUCUUGUGCUAUUAUCACUGUGUCUCACCUCGUAGAAAACCACGUACACAUCAGUGACAUUAUAGGCAUGUUUAAAUCAAAGGUUCCUACACAGAGAGACAUACAUACAGGUGCACAUACAGGUGAAUCAUGGUUCAGGAACACAUUCCAAACAGGCAAAGCACAGGCCAAACCUUUCAAACACUCCAAUUUCUUUUAUAAGAACUAUCCACUUUGUAUCACAUUUUCUUCAUGUUAUGGACAUAUCAAGCAUUAACCCCAAAAAAGCCUGACUGGUUUCAGAAUUUGCGUCACCACAGCCAAAGGAGAUUCUGUGUAAAAGGUGUGAAAUUGACCUUUAGAAUUUGGUUUAGAGUCCAAUGGUAUUGUUCUUCAGUUAUUGGAAUUGUAUGUCUUUCUAGUGCCUUACUCUGCUAAUGAACAAAUAAAGCAGUUUCUUAGAAGUCAGUUCUUAAAUGUAUCAUCCCAUACAAUACAGUAAACCACCAACAGGCACAGCCCAUUGCUUCUCAUGGUAUGUGGGGUUCAGUCAUAUAAAGACUGAAAAUAAGCCAACAGCCUGUAGCUACAAACCCCUCACCACAGCAGCAGCAACAACAACAAAAAAUCAGACACCCAUGUCUGAAUCCUAUUUACAUCUCCCCCAAUAUGACCUGGACCUAGUUUUCUGAAAUUUGGCAGGCUUAAUCCAUCCUGGGAAGAUGCCUAUGCUUGUAAAUUUCACCCACUUUGUCCAAAAGGGGGAAAGUUAUAGGCAUUUUUAAAUUCCAACAAUUGUAUAUAAUAUAUGCAUAUGUAUGCACUGAUUCCCCUGCUCGCCUGCCUCACACUAAUCUGUACAGUAAGGCCACCAUUUUCAUAUAUAUCACAUGCCGCUUUUUAUAUUCUUCCCAAAUAAAUGGUCUCAGUGGAAUGUGUAAUAGCACCAUAAAUAUGUUCUAAAUAAUUGACCAAUGAUCAUUUCAUUGUAGUAACAUAAUAAACCUUAUUUGUAAUGUCUUGCUCAAAAGUUAGCUGAACACGUUUUUUUUAAAGCCAAACAUAAGGGAGGAUUCUAGCCAGAGGAAAGAAGAACUAUCAGGAUUUUUUAUCCCAAAUUACCUUAGCUUUCCAUAAGAUUAAUUUGAAUCCAAUAUGUAAAACCCAAGUAAGAUUUAAGGUUUGGUUAUUGACUAUGUAACAGGAACACUUGGCAGGCAAUGAGAUGAAUAAAUCAUCUUGCAGCUUACAAUAAUAUUUCUGUGCCAAAUCACUUCCCAUAGAAAUGCAAUGACUGCUAGAACUAGGAAAAAUGUGGGAAAUUAAUUAAAGCACCGCAGUUGUCUUCCCCUCUGCUCACUCUUUACUGCUGUAUCUCUCAUUAAGUUGCUAGCUAGUAUUUUGAGAGCACAAUGAUGUGAUCUAAAAAUAUGUAGGUGCAGUGCUGGAAAUAUGUUAUUCAUUUUGCAGCCUAAAUACCAUAAAUUUCAAAACAAUGAUUAGGGGGUUAGGACUUCAGAGUUGCCGGGAUAAUCUGGGGACUGCAUCCAAAGCUCAUUUCAGAUCACCACUGAUUACUCUCCAGGAACAACUCUGCCUAUGGUUUUAUUCAGCGAUUUGUAUUCUGAACAAUUAAAUAGGCCUAUUUACUCGAUAUGCAUGCUGAAGAUGCAAUUCCUCUCAUUUUAAAACAGGGGUGGGUACAUAGGUGCCAACUCCCUGGGACCCUGGGUGCCCUAGCACCCACAAAAGUCCCCAUGAAGGGGAUGGGCACCCACAAAUUUGCUGCAUGGCCCUGAGCUGUGACUCCUGGGUGGGUAUCCUGUUGCCCUCCUUAGCCUACUACUCCCAUUAUUCCUGAAUUUUCAACAUGCUGGCUAGGGAUGAUGGGAGCUGGAGAACAACAUCAUUCAGAAGAGCAGUUUCCCUAUUCCUGCCAGAUGGGUGAUUGUUUCUGACCUGUGUUGAUAACAUUGCUAGGAUUGCGACGGGGUACAAAAUAGUGGGACCACAGCAAAUGAUUUAGAACACACAAAAGCAAAUUCUUUCUGACACUGUAAACAUAUUUAGGACCUUCUUAGCAGCUAAAAAGUAACUACAGUGGUACCUCGGGUUAAGAACUUAAUUCGUUCCUGAGGUCCGUUCUUAACCUGAAACUGUUCUUAACCUGAAGCACCACUUUAGCUAAUGGGGCCUCCCGCUGCCGCUGCGCAAUUUCUGUUCUCAUCCUGAAGCAAAGUUCUUAACCUGAGGUACUAUUUCUGGGUUAGUGGAGUCUGUAACCUCAAAUAUCUGUAACCUGAAGCGUCUGUAACCCGAGAUACCACUGUAUGUACUUCCUGAAAGCCACUGUGGCAUAAUGAAUAGCGGAUCAGGCUCAGACAGGGGAGAUCUGGUUUCAAACCCAGACAGACAGACAUGCAUCCUGGAUUUUAGUCUUGUGAUAUUUCUUCCUCUCUGACUUGUAGCACAUUGUACUACUGAUGUGAACUACUUGAUUAGGGUAAUUCUCCCUCAGGGGGGGCGUCUUAUACAUGGAAAAAUAUGAUAAAUGCCUUAAAUAAUAAUAAAUUAAUAAAUACAAACACAACCCCCAAAGCGAGUGAAAAUCAAUCAGAAACCAACCAAAGCAGGUGUAAAAUUAAAUUCAAACAAACAAACAAAUCCACAAUCCAUCGAAACUCCAUCAAAGAGGGAGUCUGACAAGUUCCAGAAUCUGAGUGCUGCCAUGCAGAACAUUCCCUACAUCCCAGCGAACACACCUUAGUAGGCAAUGGGACAUGGAACGUGCUUAUCUGAGAAAAGACGGUCCUUCAGUUAUCCUGCUCUCGAAGUUUAGGGUAGCCUUUCCCAAUCUGGUAGCCUAAAGAUGUUUCACAGUAUUUCCCCUGACUGGCUAGGGCCCAUAAGAAUCGUAGUGCAAAUUUAAGAUUUACACGUAGCCACUGAGAAAUACUAGAAAAGUUUCCAGAUAACACCAAUGUUUCCUGGAAAACAAUCUGAAGGAAAAACAUGUAUUGAACUAUGCCAAGUAGAGUCUCUUCAGGCAUUCAGGGAAUUGUGCAAACCAACACGUGAUUGAUAUUGUGUGUGUGUGUGUGUGUGCGCGCGCAUGCGCGCGCAUGCUGACUUUGCUCUGUUUACCUUCCCCAGAUGGAAGGAGAAUAGUCUGAAUGGGCAGCCUGAUCCACAAGUGCGUAAGACUCAAACAAACACCAUGAAAAAAUCUCAUAUUCAUUUUGAAAAGGUUAGGGGCAGCUUCUUCAUGCCUACUUCCCAUCUCCACCUGUACUUUCAAGACCUGUUAACUAACUUGCUUUUCCUUUCA